UGAGGUGUAGCUUAGUGGUAGAGCGAUUGCCUAACAUGCAUGAGGCCCUGGGUUCCAUUCCCAGCACCUCGA
Chinchilla lanigera (long-tailed chinchilla) is the source of this 72-nucleotide non-coding RNA. The record is from the annotation of a RefSeq genome assembly. NCBI's taxonomy places the organism in Eukaryota, Metazoa, Chordata, Mammalia, Rodentia, Chinchillidae.